This 277-nucleotide long non-coding RNA is filed under the name Elaeis guineensis (African oil palm). Its description in RNAcentral is "long non-coding RNA (EGUI_LNC045115)". Lineage: Eukaryota; Viridiplantae; Streptophyta; Magnoliopsida; Arecales; Arecaceae. The record is from RNAcentral.
UGUUGCAGUGACUUGGUCUCUAAGUCAUAUGGGCUCACCUAACAGUUAUUGCCCAUACUUCUUAGUUAAGCCCGACCCACCAUUCACAAGCAGGUGUAAGGCCGUCAUUGGGUCCCUCAUCUAACAAUUAUUGGGCCUAACCCUAUCUUUAUCUUGGAGCAACUCUUUGCUAAUAGAGUGGUUGCGUAUUCCUGAUGCAACUGAACCACUGUAACCAGCCAAGAACAAUCAACAUCGGUUGCAUACCCAUACAUCUACAAUGGUGGAAGACCUAUGG